Brienomyrus brachyistius is the source of this 478-nucleotide long non-coding RNA. RefSeq lists it as uncharacterized. The transcript is spliced from 3 exons. The record is from RefSeq and is a predicted model, not a curated record. Lineage: Eukaryota; Metazoa; Chordata; Actinopteri; Osteoglossiformes; Mormyridae.
GAGGAAGUAGAGAGAAGUGUUAAAGUGUGUGAUCUGGCAAGCCAUCUGCGUGAUCCAAUCAUGAAGACAUAUUUCCUGUUCCUGAGUGCUAAAUUCAGCCUUUAUCUGAAUUUAACAUUGCCUUCCAGUCAGAGGGAGUACAAAUUCACGGACUUGAAGAGGAGAUGUGCAGGCUGAUAAAGAGGAUCCUGGGCUACCUCAUACCAGCCAGGGCAAUCGUGGGUGUACCUCUCAGGGAGGUGGAGUAUGGAGAUGGACAUCAGUUGGCUGAUGAAGAUCUCUUUAUCGGAGCAGACACAAAGGCAUUCAUGAGAAGCGCUGAGCUCCCUGUGUCAGCCGAGAAGAAAAUCUUUCAAACUGUGAGAAGCUUCUAUGAGGCAGUGCUUAAGAAGAUGUUCUCCACCUUUCCCCUCGACCAUCCACUCCUGAGGGACCUGAAAGUGCUGGACCCUGCAGCUCGCCUUAACAUAACUCCAGG